Molecule: ribosomal RNA, 305 nt
Filed under: uncultured bacterium
Lineage: Bacteria
Description: partial 16S ribosomal RNA
Rfam family: Bacterial small subunit ribosomal RNA
Source: RNAcentral
ACAGCAGUAGCCGCGGUAAAACGUAGGUGGCAAGCGUUGUCCGGAAUUAUUGGGCGUAAAGGGCUCGCAGGCGGUUUCUUAAGUCUGAUGUGAAAGCCCCCGGCUCAACCGGGGAGGGUCAUUGGAAACUGGGAAACUUGAGUGCAGAAGAGGAGAGUGGAAUUCCACGUGUAGCGGUGAAAUGCGUAGAGAUGUGGAGGAACACCAGUGGCGAAGGCGACUCUCUGGUCUGUAACUGACGCUGAGGAGCGAAAGCGUGGGGAGCGAACAGGAUUAGAUACCCCGGUAGUCCCUGUCUCUUAUAC